This 1438-nucleotide long non-coding RNA is filed under the name Sus scrofa (pig). Its description in RNAcentral is "lncRNA (ENSSSCG00070002590.1)". The record is from RNAcentral. Lineage: Eukaryota; Metazoa; Chordata; Mammalia; Artiodactyla; Suidae.
AUGUUAACAAGAAAUUUCUCUGUCAUGCCUUUUUCAGAAUCUCAACCCAAAGUAGACCACGUGGACGACAACUUUGCAACUUGCCUUCUCAAGCUCUUAGUGAUGGUUCUUAUUUUUUAUGUAUUCCGGGAGGAAUGUUUUGGAAAUAAGAAAAGAAAAGGAAAUGUCUCUAGCAUCUGCUGGCCUGCUUUCUGUCUCUGUGAAUUUACCUAUCCAGAUCAACUUAAGGAAAAUGAUCAACUUAGGAAGGAAAAUGAUCAACUUAGGAAGGAAAAUGAUCAACUUAGGAAGGAAAAUGAUCAACUUGGGGAGGAAAAUGGAAAAUUGCAAAAGGAAAUUGGUAAUGGUAUUCUAAUAGUUAAAAUAUUCUCAAGAGGAUGUCCUCCUCUGAUGAUCCCCUGCUUCCUUUCAUUCUUUCCCCUUAGCUCUUCAUUUUAGGUAUCUUUUGCAUUUCCCCGUUGCCUCUGUAUAUUGCAGCUAUCAUGUUAGGAAUAAUUUUCUGCUUACCUUGAUUAAGUCCUGAAAAUCAUGUGACUCAACUUUAUUUUAUGCAUGAAAAGCAAUUUCCAAAGGGAGCAAUGGCUUGACUAAUGAUAGUAAUGACUACGGUAAAUCCCUCAGAAGAAUGCCUGUCUUUUUUCUGCAUCGUCCUCUCAUUGAGAGUCCAUGUCUUAUGUGUGUAUCUCCUUUCAGAUGAGAGGAAAACUCAAUUUAGGAAUGGUAAGUAAUUUGGAAGUUCUUUCGUGGGAUCAGAUUCCACAAAUAAUAAGCCAUCUAGCCCUUCUCUAAACCUCCUUCCCAGAAAGAGUCAGGCAUGGUAUACCAUGGCAUGUGCUCACUGUGUAGAAGCAUAAAUGGAAGAGAAUCUGUGAAAGUGAGUUAACUCAUUUUCUUUCCUAACUUAGAAUAUCCUUUUAUUGAGACGGGGAAAAAUUUAAUUGUUUAAUGGAUAUUUCCCAAGCGCUCCUUCCUUUGUCUUCACUUCCCUAACCACCCUUUUCUUUCCCUUUUCACUCUUUGUCUCACUCUUGUCAAUUCUUUCUUCCUUCACCUCUGUUCUUUCCAAAUCCUUACCUUUCUCCUUGCUCCUUUCCUCCUUCCCCCCUCACUCCUUCCAUUUUAUCCGUUAUGCUUUCUUUCCAUCUUCAUUUCUCAAACUAUCCACUUUUAUUUCCAUCAUUUCUUUAUUUUCUUUGUUCUUAUUUUUCUUUUUAUUAUUACUUCUCUUGCUUAUAGCUUGAUUUUUCUUUUGACUUUAUACUUUUUCACAUAUAUAUACAAACCCAACAAUUUUAAAGUUAAAGGAAUGGUCACAGUAUUGUGAGGAAGGAAAGGGAUGGAGAGAGAAAUAACUGAAUACUUAGAGAAUACUGGUGAUGAGGAGAGAGGAAAAGAUACACGAAGGACCAGGAAAGGGUAAUCACAUGUUCUCAUGUUG